AUUUAGUAGGCUUAUUCGCGAAAAUCAAAAAGAACAAAAAAUAUUUGCUAUUUUUAGAAUAUAAGUUAUGUUUUAAUUUGCAACAAAAGAAAGAAAAUUUCCCAAAAAAUAUGUUUUCUUAGUUUCUAAAGUUCUCACAACUUUUGAGUUUUAUAUAAUAGUUUUAAGCUACUGUAAUAGUGUUAUUUAGUUGGGAGAAUUAUUUUCUUGUCAUUUUGAUUUCGUUUCAAUAUUUUGGGUGAUAUUUUAUUUCAUUAAAUUAGUUAGUAUAUUUUAUUUUAGUUUAAGUUUUCUUUUAGAUAAUUCAAGAAAUAUCUCAUUACUUUUGUCUUUUUCCCUAACCAACACACACAUGAUACCACUCCCAUUUUGACACCUCACCUAGAAUAAUUCUUGUUCACCACUCCACUCUUCCACAAAAAUAUACCACCUCACCACAAAAUGACAAAAGUUAUAACAAAUUUUAUCACAAAAAUGGGGAGGAACACGUGAUAGGGGGUAUUAUUGUUGGGCGUGGGACCCGCCAAAAAAAAAAAAGAAAAAUGAAAAAGAUUAGGAAGGGAAUUUUAUUUUGUGGACCCCAUAAUUUAGCACAUGCACAUAAAAAAGAUCAAAUCACAUAUGAGGGAAAAGGAAUGAUUUUAUAAAGGAAGUAAGGAUCAUUUUGGAUAUGAAAAAUAAAGAGAGGGACCCAAAAAUCUUUUCAUCACUUUACACCCUACAUAUAUAUAUUAUAUAUAAUGGAGGAACCAAUAGCCUAGAUCAUUCAGCCGUCACUUCCAUAACAAAAAACACCUAAUACCCUACGGAAAAAAUUUAAAAAAAAAACAGCCGCCCCAUAUAAAAAAUGACUCAAAUAUUUUCAUAGUUCUAGGCUAUGCUAAGUGGAAGACGCCCCUUUUCUAUUUCUCUACUGGGUUUGAAGAUAACAAGUUUCGAAUCUGAGAUCACCAGCAAGGUUUUAGUCCAAGUUUCGAUCAAAAGUCGGGUCUCUUCGACUUUGUUUUUUUUUUUUUAAUUUUUCUUCACCUUCUAGCAGAAUACCAAGUGCGAUCAACUUCUACUCCUCGUGGAUGACCUUCGAGGUUGAUGAUUCGAGUCUUCCAAGGUGCGCACGAGGAUGUUCGCUGCCAGAAUACUCUUCCUUUAUUAUGUCUUUAUUUCCAUCCCGAGACAUGAUUUUUACACAAUUGAUGUAUUACUAUCAUUCAGACUUGUGGUAUUUAGUUAGUUGUUGUUGUAUGAUCAGAUCAGAUUUUCAGGUGGA
Molecule: long non-coding RNA, 1267 nt
Organism: Lycium barbarum (goji berry)
Lineage: Eukaryota; Viridiplantae; Streptophyta; Magnoliopsida; Solanales; Solanaceae
Exons: 2
Source: RefSeq, a predicted model, not a curated record